AGUGAACGCUGGCGGUAGGCCUAACACAUGCAAGUCGAACGGCAGCACAGGAGAGCUUGCUCUCUGGGUGGCGAGUGGCGGACGGGUGAGGAAUACAUCGGAAUCUACUUUUUCGUGGGAGAUAACGUAGGGAAGCUUACGCUAAUACCGCAUACGACCUACGGGUGAAAGCAGGGGACCUUCGGGCCUUGCGCGAUUGAAUGAGCCGAUGUCGGAUUAGCUAGUUGGCGGGGUAAAGGCCCACCAAGGCGACGAUCCGUAGCUGGUCUGAGAGGGGGACAAGCCACACGGGAACUGAGACACGGUCCAGGCUCCUACGGGAGGCAGCAGGGGGGAAUAUUGGACAAUGGGCGCAGGCCUGAUCCAGCCAUACCGGGUGGGUGAAGAAGGCCUUCGGGUUGUAAAGCCCUUUUGUUGGGAAAGAAAUCCAGCUGGCUAAUACCCGGUUGGGAUGACGGUACCCAAAGAAUAAGCACCGGCUAACUUCGUGCCAGCAGCCGCCGUAA
This 506-nucleotide ribosomal RNA is filed under the name uncultured bacterium. Its description in RNAcentral is "partial 16S ribosomal RNA". It matches the Rfam family "Bacterial small subunit ribosomal RNA", at positions 29 to 523 of the family's 1533-position model. The record is from RNAcentral.